GAUGAAGAACGCAGUGAAAUGCGAUAAGUAAUGUGAAUUGCAGAAUUUAGUGAAUCAUCGAAUCUUUGAACGCAUAUUGCGCCCGCCAGCACUCUGGCGGGCAUGCCUGUUCGAGCGUCAUUUCAACCCUCAGGCCUCGCGUCUGGCGUUGGGGCGCUGCGGCCCUCCCGCAGGCCCCCAAAUUUAGCGGCGGAUUCCCCGCGGCCCUGAGCGCAGUAGAGAGUAAAAACUUUAACGCUCCGGCGGCCGUGGCGCGGUUCUGCCUCUUUCCCAAUAGCGCCAAUAGCGCCACCCCCAAAAAAGUUGACCUCGGAUCAGGUAGGACUACCCGCUGAACUUAAGCAUAUCAAUAAGCGGAGGA
This 361-nucleotide unclassified non-coding RNA is filed under the name soil metagenome. RNAcentral describes it as "partial contains 5.8S ribosomal RNA, internal transcribed spacer 2, and large subunit ribosomal RNA". The stretch from base 1 to 120 matches the Rfam family "5.8S ribosomal RNA", at positions 35 to 154 of the family's 154-position model. The record is from RNAcentral.